Molecule: microRNA, 22 nt
Filed under: Pan troglodytes (chimpanzee)
Lineage: Eukaryota; Metazoa; Chordata; Mammalia; Primates; Hominidae
Also listed under: 1 other name
Description: ptr-miR-556
Gene: ptr-miR-556
Source: miRBase by way of RNAcentral
AUAUUACCAUUAGCUCAUCUUU